CCCGAGGGAACCCAGCGGAGUCCGACGGCUCCCUGGGCCACGCGCCGUCCGUUGAGCGGCUCUGCGGCCGGCCGAGGCCGGGCUUCGGUCUCUCCGACGUCCCUGGGAGCGGGAGAGGAAGCGAGGAAGGCGCUUGGGCCCUCCGCCGCUGGGGCGCCCGCCUUCCGUGUGGAAGCGAAGGCUAGAGCGCUCCCCGGCCGGCCGGGCGGUGCAGGGCCGCUGACCACCUCGGGUCACCAGGAAGCCUGGACGUCGGGGAGACUAGACGCUCCCCCGACGGUUCGAAAGCGCAGCCAAAGCUAACAGCGACUGGCGUCGAGGAAGGAGGGGGUUGUUUCAGGCUGUGGAAUGGAAGUUGGUUUCUCCAGGAGGGAACACGAGCCUUGCUGACCUCACUGACCGUUCCGGAGAGCACGCCUGGGCUUUGCUCGGCAUUCACUCUACAAACGCGGCUCUGAGCGCCUCACCUUCCAGGCGGGACCUGGGCUCCGUAUUCUUCCUGCCCAGAGAGCUGCUAGCUGCGGGGCGAGGAAGCGCCAGCUGUGCCCAGCAGCUUCGGGGCAGCAGCCUCCUGGCAGUUGGAACCAGAAGGAUGAUCGGGCUCCAAGCGGUCCAGCCACGCUCCCUGCCCUCCCUGGACUCUGGGGGGCAGAGCCAGAGUAGGGAGGGCCAGUUGGGCGCCCCCCCAGGGGUGUGCAGAGCCAGAGCUGCCAGGACCGGAGCUCCCUGGACUCCGUACCCCAGAGAAGAAAAAUCGCAAAAGUGGAUAACGGGAAAGUUGUCUGUUGCUGUGUAACAAAUCACCCCGCAACUUAGCGGCUUAACACAAACCUUUAUUAUCUCACAGUCUCUGUGGGUCAGGGACCCAGGCACAGCUGGGGUGUGCUUCUGCCUCAAGGUGUCUUACAAGCCUGCAGUCGGGGUGUCAGCUGGGACCGUGGCCCUGUGCGGAAGCCCCCCGCCGGGUCCGCGUCCGAGCUUAUUCACCAGGUUGUCGGCAGGAUUCGGGUCCUCGCGGGCUACUACACGGGGCGCCUCGUUCUUCUCUGCUUUUUGGCUGGAGGCCUUACUCCGUUCUUUGCCAUGUGGGCCUCUUCACAGGGCAGCUCACAACGGGGCAGGCGGCUCCCGUCUGAGGGAGCAAACGGGAGGACCGCCGCGGCGGGAGGCGGCUCCUGUAGCCUCAUUUCAGAAGCAGCACCCUGUCACUUCGGCAGGGGUCGCGGACUGCGCGGCGCUGGGGAGUAAUACCAGGAGACGGGAUCAUCGUGGGCCACCCCCACCCCACUGCUGUGCUCUUCCUGCUGCCCCCGGGCCUGCAGGAGUGGGUCUCCCUGGAGCUGGGAACGCUGUGCGCAGGGUGUUGUUUUUGUGUUUCCCUGUUUUAGAAUACAGUGCGUGGAAUUGUUACCUCGUGAGAUAGAUGCACCCAGAGAGCACAGGCCGCGACAGACGGGCGCUCAUCCACAGCGUUCUGUCCACAUCCUUCCCUACUUAAGCCUUUCCAAGGCCUCUGCUGACUUGUAAUUCCCACUCCCUGAGUGACAUAGAGCAUCUUUUCUUAAGCUUACCAAUUAUUUGAACUUUCCUCAGAGCGAGGUUGGGCCCCCAAUCUAUCCUUCCCGAGGACCCUGACGGUGCAUCAAGGAAAGUCCCAGGCAGAGGUGCAGGGGCCGUGACGCUCUCACACGAACCCACACAGGCCACACAGGCAAAGCUUGAACCACAGCAAAAUCUGUGUCUUGGCCGAACGCCUCUCGGUCCUCCUGGAACUCAGGAGUGUGGGAGCAGCUGCUCCAAGUCUGAGCCCCCUCAUCUCCCGGGAGGCUGGGCUGACCCCCUUGCCCGUAGCCUCGGGGUUGUGACGUGGCCUGGGGCUGUGCGGGAAGAGCUUAGCGACCCCAGGGCGCUUGCCCCCAGCACCAGGGCGCCCCGCCAUUGAUGCUGCAGUCAUCUGGUCACUUUCUGGUGUCACCUGUGCAGGGUCACAGGGGGCUGGCACUUGGCUGCUCUUCCUUUUAUAAGCUGUGUAAUAAACGGAAUCUAAAAAGGACUCGCUCUUUCUUUACCAGCAAAUCUGUCGGCCUUGGCUGAAGAGAAUGGAAGUGAGGGGAGGCCCAGGCCACCUGGUUUCUCCACAUCUACCCCUGCCCGGUGCCAGAUAAUGCUUGCUAGCCCUGCCCUCCAAGGCUUGAUCCAGCCCCUUAAGGCUUGAACACUUCUCCCCCACGAUCUUGAGCCCAGAUCUGUCCCCGCCAUGCCCCCUGGAGAGACUUCAGUGAGUGGGAACCUCUCCAGGACCAUGCCAGCCCUCAGGGGACCAGCAUUUGGAGCGAAACAGAGGACAACAGCUCCCUUUUCCCCAACACCUUAUUAGGGAAAUUUGCAAACACAUGGCAACGAAGGAUUUUGCACAGCUGUAUGCAUACCCACCACCAACUGUACCGCUUACAUUUUACUAGAUUAUCACUUUGUCACGUCUGGGCAGCCAUCCAUCUGUCCAUUUUAUUUUUGAUGCAUUUAGAGUCAGUUUUAGCCUUCAGUGUGCUUUCCGCUAAUUACUUCAGUGUGUUCACCAAGUAGAGUUCAUUAUUCACAGUCCUUUUCUUUUAAUGUAAAACGUACACUGAAAUGCCCUGCCUGUAAGUGAGUAUUUGCUGAGUUUUGACAAAUUAUACGUUUUUGUAACUCAGACCCUUAUCAAAAAAGAUACUGAGCGUUCCCAUCACCCCAGAAAGUUCUUGUCCCCCACUCAGUCCUACCCCCACUGAGAGAGAACCACUCAGUGCCCUGCCUAGUGAUACUACAGCCUAAAGCAAAGGGAAAAAAAAUAUUUUUAAGGGUUUCGUUUUAACAUUAAAGUAGGUGAAAACCCACUGAAAAAUGAAAAGAUUUAUUAAAAAUAUUUUGUUUAUUUUAUAUUAAAAAAUUGAUAAUUUUGCCUCCUGGUUUUAAUGAAAACAAACUCAUCAGUGUUUCCAAAGUCUACUAGUCGUUUUUAAUGGAGAGAAUUGCUGUGUUAAUUUCUUUUGACCAAGUGAUCUUAAAUAACCUUUCAUUAACUGCAGACAAACGUAAGAUGCCAUGUGACUGGCAGUGCUAACUACCUUCUCAAGAUCGCUUCCAAAUUAGGAUUGCGCUAAGCAAACUUUUGAAUCAGCUUUAGAAGAUCCAAACACAGUGUUAAUUUUACGUUAUAAAUUACUGAUACUGAAUGCUGUUUUAAACUAUAUCAGAUGACAUUUCUAAAGGACUUAAAUCAGAAUAUUUGCAUCAAAUAAGUGGCUGCUUUGUGUAAAUCAGAUGUAUCCAUAGAAAAUAACUUCUGUGGUUAAAAAUUCAAAAUCUAAAGACACUUUAAUUUUCCAUAUAUUUAUUUCAAAUGUGAAAUCAGGGCAUCUGGCAUCUAUAAUCUUAGUUUCCAUUUGAUAUGCAUGUUUCUCAUAAUUGACACUCAUCGAGUGAUUCAUUUCCAAUUUCUAUACUUUCAUUUUAAAAUUCAAGCAAUAUAUUCAUAUCUUUUGCUAAAAUUUUACAUUCAUCAAGCAUACUUCCAAAGUUACUAUUAAUUGUUGUAAGCAAAUAAAACCUGUUAAGUAUAUAGUUUUAUGCCUAGUCAUUUUUUUAAUUGUAUAGCAUUAUUUUUUAUACUUGGUUUGGAAGGUCAUCCCACACAGAUUACAUAAAAUUAUGUAAUUAUUUACAUCAAGAAGCUUUUGAUGUUAGCAUAUUUUUCAUUUGAUAUAUACAUACAUUUCAAUAUUUAUAAAUGUCUUUCUAUGUGAAGUGCCUUGACUGCAUUUAAUUUUGAUCCUCAUGGGGUGUCUGGAUUUUUUUUUAAACACCUUUAUUGUGGUACGGGUGUGUUUUUAAUAUAGGUUUUAGAUCAGACAUAAGAAUAUCCAUCUGCUCACCCAUUUUUAAAAAUUCACGCACACACAAAAAUGUAUAUACAUAUGUCCUUUGUAGAAUGCUAAAAAUAGGUUAUCAAAUUUCAUUUCACAGAAGCAGCAUUUUUGCAUAUUAAGAUUAUGAGCGGAGGAAGGCACAAAUUUGGCAUAAUUAUAUUUGGGGAAAAAUAGUGUCUUUUACACACUCUUGUAUAACCUGCCAUAUUUCCUCCAUUAGUAUAUCCCUGGCCACAAGCAUUUUUUAUGUCAAUAUUUUUUCCCAACCUCUAAUUUCAUAAGCUAGACCUGGGAAGUUUUUUCUUUCAUGUCAAUAAAGUCAAUAAAACUUAUUUUGUUGUUACGACAUUGUUCUUAAUGUGAGCAGACCUAAUAGUCUGACACACUUGUUCACAGUGGACUACAUCUGGUGUACAAUCAACAAGUAAAAAGUAUUUGCUUCCUUUAUUAAUAGUAUUUCAGAUCUGGUGUGAUUUGCUUGUAGCAUUAUGCAUUUGUUUUGAAUUUUAUUAGGUAAGACACAUGGACUUCCAAUAAUUUCUUGUGAUUCUCUAAGAUAUCUAAGACACUUUUAUUUUUGUUCAAAGUGUAACACCUAAAAUCACUCAAAAUAUUCUCAUUUUUGUUUCUUUGAUUU
Long non-coding RNA from Camelus dromedarius (Arabian camel), 4545 nucleotides. RefSeq lists it as uncharacterized. Lineage: Eukaryota; Metazoa; Chordata; Mammalia; Artiodactyla; Camelidae. The record is from RefSeq and is a predicted model, not a curated record. The transcript is spliced from 3 exons.